Molecule: small nucleolar RNA, 120 nt
Filed under: Catagonus wagneri (Chacoan peccary)
Lineage: Eukaryota; Metazoa; Chordata; Mammalia; Artiodactyla; Tayassuidae
Description: Small nucleolar RNA SNORA26 (ENSCWAG00000017112.1)
Rfam family: Small nucleolar RNA SNORA26
About the family: The snoRNA HBI-6 belong to the H/ACA family of snoRNAs, guiding the pseudouridylation of position U4522 if the 28S rRNA.
Source: Rfam by way of RNAcentral
ACCUCUUUCUAAGAGAAUCAAAAGGAUUAAGGCUAACACAGAAGGAUGAAGUUAAGUCUCUAUAAAACCCAGAGAAAAGACCGUAUAACUCAUCUUUGGCUCCUGUCUUGAGUCACAGCU